This 250-nucleotide ribosomal RNA is filed under the name uncultured bacterium. RNAcentral describes it as "partial 16S ribosomal RNA". It matches the Rfam family "Bacterial small subunit ribosomal RNA", at positions 524 to 773 of the family's 1533-position model. The record is from RNAcentral.
AACGUAGGAGACGAGCGUUAUCCGGAUUUACUGGGCGUAAAGCGCGUGCAGGCGGCAUGGCAAGUUGGAUGUGAAAGCUCCCGGCUUAACUGGGAGAGGUCGUUCAAAACUGCCAGGCUUGAGAGUGGUAGAGGGAAGCGGAAUUCCGGGUGUAGUGGUGAAAUGCGUAGAUAUCCGGAGGAACACCAGUGGCGAAAGCGGCUUCCUGGCCCAUUUCUGACGCUCAGACGCGAAAGCUAGGGUAGCAAAC